AGUGAACGCUGGCGGCAGGCCUAACACAUGCAAGUCGAACGGUAGCACAGUAAGAGUUUGCUCUUACGGGUGGCGAGUGGCGGACGGGUGAGGAAUACAGCGGAAUCCAUUUUUUCGUGGGGGAUAACGUAGGGAAAAUUACGCUAAUACCGCAAACGACCUACGGGAGAAAGCAGGGGAUCCUGGGACCUUGCCAUAUUAAAUGCGCCGAUGUGGGUUUAGCUAGUUGGGGGGGGAAAGGCCCACCAACGCGACGAUCCGUAGCUGGUCUGAGGGGGUGAACAACCACACUGGAACUGGGAAACGGUCCAAACUCCUCCGGGGGGCAGCAGUGGGGAAUAUUGGACAAUGGGCGGAAGCCUGGUCGAGCCAUACCGGGUGGGUGAAAAAGGCCUUCGGGUUGUAAAACCCUUUUGUUGGGAAAGAAAAGCAGCAGAUUAAUACCCCGCUGUUCUGACGGUACCCAAAGAAAAAGGACCGGCUAACUUCGUG
This 492-nucleotide ribosomal RNA is filed under the name uncultured bacterium. RNAcentral's name for it is "partial 16S ribosomal RNA". It matches the Rfam family "Bacterial small subunit ribosomal RNA", at positions 29 to 507 of the family's 1533-position model. The record is from RNAcentral.